RNAcentral lists this ribosomal RNA (1437 nucleotides) under uncultured organism. RNAcentral's name for it is "16S ribosomal RNA". It matches the Rfam family "Bacterial small subunit ribosomal RNA". The record is from RNAcentral.
CAGGCUUAACACAUGCAAGUCGAGGGGCAGCACAGGUAGCAAUACCGGGUGGCGACCGGCGCACGGGUGAGUAACGCGUAUGCAACUUGCCUAUCAGAGGGGGAUAACCCGGCGAAAGUCGGACUAAUACCGCAUGAAGCAGGGGCCCCGCAUGGGGAUAUUUGCUAAAGAUUCAUCGCUGAUAGAUAGGCAUGCGUUCCAUUAGGCAGUUGGCGGGGUAACGGCCCACCAAACCGACGAUGGAUAGGGGUUCUGAGAGGAAGGUCCCCCACAUUGGUACUGAGACACGGACCAAACUCCUACGGGAGGCAGCAGUGAGGAAUAUUGGUCAAUGGGCGCGAGCCUGAACCAGCCAAGUCGCGUGAGGGAUGAAGGUUCUAUGGAUCGUAAACCUCUUUUAUAAGGGAAUAAAGUGCGGGACGUGUCCCGUUUUGUAUGUACCUUAUGAAUAAGGAUCGGCUAACUCCGUGCCAGCAGCCGCGGUAAUACGGAGGAUCCGAGCGUUAUCCGGAUUUAUUGGGUUUAAAGGGUGCGUAGGCGGCCUUUUAAGUCAGCGGUGAAAGUCUGUGGCUCAACCAUAGAAUUGCCGUUGAAACUGGGGGGCUUGAGUAUGUUUGAGGCAGGCGGAAUGCGUGGUGUAGCGGUGAAAUGCAUAGAUAUCACGCAGAACCCCGAUUGCGAAGGCAGCCUGCCAAGCCAUUACUGACGCUGAUGCACGAAAGCGUGGGGAUCAAACAGGAUUAGAUACCCUGGUAGUCCACGCAGUAAACGAUGAUCACUAGCUGUUUGCGAUACACUGUAAGCGGCACAGCGAAAGCGUUAAGUGAUCCACCUGGGGAGUACGCCGGCAACGGUGAAACUCAAAGGAAUUGACGGGGGCCCGCACAAGCGGAGGAACAUGUGGUUUAAUUCGAUGAUACGCGAGGAACCUUACCCGGGUUUGAACGCAUUCGGACCGAGGUGGAAACACCUUUUCUAGCAAUAGCCGUUUGCGAGGUGCUGCAUGGUUGUCGUCAGCUCGUGCCGUGAGGUGUCGGCUUAAGUGCCAUAACGAGCGCAACCCUUGCCACUAGUUACUAACAGGUAAAGCUGAGGACUCUGGUGGGACUGCCAGCGUAAGCUGCGAGGAAGGCGGGGAUGACGUCAAAUCAGCACGGCCCUUACAUCCGGGGCGACACACGUGUUACAAUGGCGUGGACAAAGGGAAGCCACCUGGCGACAGGGAGCGAAUCCCCAAACCACGUCUCAGUUCGGAUCGGAGUCUGCAACCCGACUCCGUGAAGCUGGAUUCGCUAGUAAUCGCGCAUCAGCCAUGGCGCGGUGAAUACGUUCCCGGGCCUUGUACACACCGCCCGUCAAGCCAUGGGAGCCGGGGGUACCUGAAGUCCGUAACCGCGAGGAUCGGCCUAGGGUAAAACUGGUGACUGGGGCUAAGUC